UACAGAGGUCUCAAGCGUUGUUCGGAUUCAUUGGGCGUAAGGGUGCGUAGGCGGCGCGGUAAGUCGGAUGUGAAAUCUCGGGGCUUAACUCCGAAACUGCAUUCGAUACUACCGUGCUUGAGGACUGGAGAGGAGACUGGAAUUUACGGUGUAGCGGUGAAAUGCGUAGAUAUCGUAAGGAAGACCAGUGGCGAAGGCGGGUCUCUGGACAGUUCCUGACGCUGAGGCACGAAGGCCAGGGGAGCAAACGGG
RNAcentral lists this ribosomal RNA (252 nucleotides) under uncultured bacterium. Its description in RNAcentral is "partial 16S ribosomal RNA". It matches the Rfam family "Bacterial small subunit ribosomal RNA", at positions 524 to 776 of the family's 1533-position model. The record is from RNAcentral.